Molecule: long non-coding RNA, 896 nt
Organism: Chelmon rostratus (copperband butterflyfish)
Lineage: Eukaryota; Metazoa; Chordata; Actinopteri; Chaetodontiformes; Chaetodontidae
Exons: 3
Source: RefSeq, a predicted model, not a curated record
AAACCCAGGUCUGAAGUGGCUCAGAUUCUCUUUUGCCUCUCCUGUGCGUGGAUCCUUGCUGCUUUUUCGUGGGAGUUGUGCCUGUGGCGGCGCUUGGUGUGUCCAGCUGCGUUGGAUUUACUCCGCGUAAAUAGCACUCCGCUCUCCGUGGUGCACUGGUGGCGUGUGUGGACACCUGGUCAGCUGUAGCAAAUUACAGCUGCGGUUGGGAACCUCGCGCUGCUCUGUGGUGUCUCCGCUGUGCGUAAAGGCCGCCGUUUGCGUGGUCUUGUGGCAUUUGAUGUUCGGGUAAGUGGCAUGUCUCUCUCUUUGACCCAUUGGGCUGUACCCAGCCAGUCUAAUGCUCUCUCUUCUUUGUGUAGUGUGGUGGUUUCUUGUGCGUGGUAACACACACGUUUAUUCGGAGGCUGAGAGUACGUCUCCGUGGGGGUCUGGAGACCGGUGCUUUUUCUGCUUGCAGGGUUAAGCUGCAUCUCCUGAAAGCGCCGGCUACGGCUGGCACAACUCCUCCCACCUCCGCUGUUCUGGAUUGCGGUGUUCUGGAUUGCGGUGUUCUGGAUUGCGGUGUUCUGGAUUGCACUGGCAAGUGUGGGGUUGGUCCAUUCUGGAUGUCCCUCCUCCCAGUUCAGUCGUGGGUUCCGGACUUCUGGUAAAACUGUUUCUCUUUAUUUGACUGGUACUGCACAAAAAGAACUUUAGGUCCCUUGGUGUUAGAAACAGUCAAGAUUUAUGUACAUAUUGUAAAUUUUAACUGUAAAUAACUGGUGGUUUGUUAAUGUGAAUUUUGUGUUUAUAUUCUUUGCAUGUUGUGUGUAUUUUUGGUUUGAGAUUUCUUUUUUUGUUGUUGUUGUUUGUAUCAUUUAUCAUGUUAUAUUGGGCAUUUAUUGAAGCCUAUU